UGGUACAGUACUGCAGCAACUCAGCCAGUUGUGUUGUACUUCCUAUAUAUAUUGAUCAACAACAAGCAUUAUUUCUUACAGAGCAUUAUAUAUUGAAUGGACAACGGUGGGGCUUUCCGUGAAUUGGUAGGGAAUCAACUAAAACCUUUCCAUCUUCCAUGCAUGCAAUCCGUUAUCCAUUUAUUAAUAUUCUCGAAAGAGUUUGAAUAUUUUGUUGCGCCGUAGCUUAUCACCACCAACAA
RNAcentral lists this long non-coding RNA (242 nucleotides) under Elaeis guineensis (African oil palm). RNAcentral's name for it is "long non-coding RNA (EGUI_LNC017200)". The record is from RNAcentral. Lineage: Eukaryota; Viridiplantae; Streptophyta; Magnoliopsida; Arecales; Arecaceae.